Long non-coding RNA from Arabidopsis thaliana (thale cress), 276 nucleotides. RefSeq annotates it as other RNA. Lineage: Eukaryota; Viridiplantae; Streptophyta; Magnoliopsida; Brassicales; Brassicaceae. The transcript has a single exon. The record is from RefSeq.
CGUCUAGGUUUUGCGUUGUGCAAGCUGAUCAUUUUGCUUUACAUUCUAAGUCCUUCAUUUGCAUUCCACUUAUAGGUUUCGCUGGUUAUGAAGUUAUGGAAUUCACAUGAGCUAAUUGAUUCUCUGUUUCUCGCUUUUACUUUAUGUUUUCGUGGCUUUGUCUUCUUGUUGAAAUGAGCUCUUAAAUUGCUAAACUGUAACUUACAGCAAGUGUAAUGUAAUGAAAGCUUGUCUCAAUAGACGUUCCUAAUAGCCAGCCUCCUGGUCAAUAUGAAG